This 63-nucleotide transfer RNA is filed under the name Hordeum marinum (seaside barley). Its description in RNAcentral is "partial tRNA-Met". It matches the Rfam family "tRNA", at positions 12 to 71 of the family's 71-position model. Rfam says of the family: Transfer RNA (tRNA) molecules are approximately 80 nucleotides in length. Their secondary structure includes four short double-helical elements and three loops (D, anti-codon, and T loops). The record is from RNAcentral. Lineage: Eukaryota; Viridiplantae; Streptophyta; Magnoliopsida; Poales; Poaceae.
GCAGUUUGGUAGCUCACGAGGCUCAUAACCUUGAGGUCACGGGUUCGAUUCCCGUCUCCGCAC